GAGGGCAUAGCUCAGUGGUGGAGCGUGUGCCUAGCAUGCGCGAGGUCCUGGGUUCAGUCCCCAGCACCCCUC
This 72-nucleotide transfer RNA is filed under the name Camelus ferus (Wild Bactrian camel). It matches the Rfam family "tRNA". Rfam says of the family: Transfer RNA (tRNA) molecules are approximately 80 nucleotides in length. Their secondary structure includes four short double-helical elements and three loops (D, anti-codon, and T loops). Further hydrogen bonds mediate the characteristic L-shaped molecular structure. tRNAs have two regions of fundamental functional importance: the anti-codon, which is responsible for specific mRNA codon recognition, and the 3' end, to which the tRNAs corresponding amino acid is attached (by aminoacyl-tRNA synthetases). tRNAs cope with the degeneracy of the genetic code in two manners: having more than one tRNA (with a specific anti-codon) for a particular amino acid; and 'wobble' base-pairing, i.e. permitting non-standard base-pairing at the 3rd anti-codon position. Lineage: Eukaryota; Metazoa; Chordata; Mammalia; Artiodactyla; Camelidae. The record is from Rfam by way of RNAcentral.